RNAcentral lists this ribosomal RNA (408 nucleotides) under uncultured soil bacterium. RNAcentral describes it as "bacterial SSU rRNA". It matches the Rfam family "Bacterial small subunit ribosomal RNA", at positions 509 to 916 of the family's 1533-position model. The record is from RNAcentral. RNAcentral also lists the same sequence under 1 other name.
CAGCCGCCGCGGUAAUACGGAGGGUGCAAGCGUUAAUCGGAAUUACUGGGCGUAAAGCGCACGCAGGCGGUUUGUUAAGUCAGAUGUGAAAUCCCCGGGCUCAACCUGGGAACUGCAUCUGAUACUGGCAAGCUUGAGUCUCGUAGAGGGGGGUAGAAUUCCAGGUGUAGCGGUGAAAUGCGUAGAGAUCUGGAGGAAUACCGGUGGCGAAGGCGGCCCCCUGGACGAAGACUGACGCUCAGGUGCGAAAGCGUGGGGAGCAAACAGGAUUAGAUACCCUGGUAGUCCACGCCGUAAACGAUGUCGACUUGGAGGUUGUGCCCUUGAGGCGUGGCUUCCGGAGCUAACGCGUUAAGUCGACCGCCUGGGGAGUACGGCCGCAAGGUUAAAACUCAAAGGAAUUGACGG